This 121-nucleotide non-coding RNA is filed under the name Platyophrya macrostoma. The record is from RNAcentral. Lineage: Eukaryota; Ciliophora; Colpodea; Cyrtolophosidida; Platyophryidae.
AACCUUCCGCCAUCAAGAAACGCAAAGAAAUAAACAAACAAACAAACAAACAAAAAACAAAAGUCAAAUCAAUCAACCAGAUGUUCAUAAGAGCGACGCCAUUUUUUCUUCUUCUUUUUGC